Molecule: long non-coding RNA, 813 nt
Filed under: Capsicum annuum
Lineage: Eukaryota; Viridiplantae; Streptophyta; Magnoliopsida; Solanales; Solanaceae
Description: long non-coding RNA (CANN_LNC022159)
Source: RNAcentral
UAAUCAGCCAAACAAGAAUUAUAAAUUCAAACGAGGAGUGAAUCACCAAACUAAACAUAUCAUAAAUUAAAUUGGAAAGAAUUUAUCUUGUGUUGGGCAGCGAACUAAGACUUCCUCAUCAAAGAUCGAAACUUGAACUCAAACUCAAAAGAGCAAAAGAAAUUUGGAAACGAGAGUAUAUAUUUGUCGACGUUUGGUGCUAAUGUUAGAUAAUUCUUUUUUGGUGGUUAUUUCUUUUGCUUGAUUUUUUUCACUCCACAAAAAUGGUAGCCCAAAGGCUCCUUCAUAGACAAAGCUGAAGGGGUGUUGUAACAGCUCUAUAGAGGCUCCAAGAAUUCAAAUUUAGAAUUCUUUAAAAGCCCAAAUCUUAGAGAGAAACACAGAGACCCAAUUAGAAGAAAACAAAGUUUGAAAUUUAGAUUGAUGUGUAGGAGAAAAGAGUUGUUUAAAGGCAUUCACUUUCAGAACCAUAAAAUUAAGGAAGUAAUAAUCCCAAAUCCUACAAUCCUUCAUACUUUUUACCUCUACAGCGGUAGCAGUGUGGCGGUGAAAAUCUCUUUGGGGUCAGAUUGAAUAGAAAAUAUUGUUGAAAUGAUGUAAAGUUGAUUGAAGAACUAUGGGAUUGAUGGAUGUGGGAGAAAAAGUGAAGGGGGAAGGUUGAGGACCAUCGAAAUUGCUAUUAUCCGAUGGUCCAAAGGAGAAAUAGAGUUACAGUAAGAAAAAGAGAGGUUAUUUAUGUUCUGAUUGAGUUUCAACCAUGGAGAAAAAAAGGGAUUUAGAUGAUUGGUUUGGUCAGGAUUAUUUUUAGCUAGG